GACACUAUAGCCAAGUGGUUAAGGCGACAGAUUAGAACUUGUUCAUGAUCUGUUUCCCUCUGGGAGCGUAGGUUCGAACCCUACUGGUGUCG
RNAcentral lists this transfer RNA (92 nucleotides) under Pilatotrama ljubarskyi. RNAcentral describes it as "tRNA-Ser". It matches the Rfam family "tRNA". Rfam says of the family: Transfer RNA (tRNA) molecules are approximately 80 nucleotides in length. The record is from RNAcentral. Lineage: Eukaryota; Fungi; Basidiomycota; Agaricomycetes; Polyporales; Polyporaceae.